Molecule: small nucleolar RNA, 101 nt
Filed under: Ictidomys tridecemlineatus (thirteen-lined ground squirrel)
Lineage: Eukaryota; Metazoa; Chordata; Mammalia; Rodentia; Sciuridae
Description: Spermophilus tridecemlineatus (thirteen-lined ground squirrel) Small nucleolar RNA U13
Rfam family: Small nucleolar RNA U13
Source: Rfam by way of RNAcentral
AUCCUUCGGUUCAUAAGCGUGACGACUGGGUGUUCAUGCUCCUGUAUGAGAUGUUCCUCCCUCUAAACCUUGUUAUGACACGGCACAUUACCUGUCUGGUG